GGAGAGAUGGCUGAGCUGGUCUAAGGCGCACGACUGGAAAUCGUGUUAUGCAUAACCGCAUACGAGGGUUCGAAUCCCUCUCUCUCCGCCA
This 91-nucleotide transfer RNA is filed under the name Clostridiales bacterium. Its description in RNAcentral is "tRNA-Ser". It matches the Rfam family "tRNA". Rfam says of the family: Transfer RNA (tRNA) molecules are approximately 80 nucleotides in length. Their secondary structure includes four short double-helical elements and three loops (D, anti-codon, and T loops). Further hydrogen bonds mediate the characteristic L-shaped molecular structure. tRNAs have two regions of fundamental functional importance: the anti-codon, which is responsible for specific mRNA codon recognition, and the 3' end, to which the tRNAs corresponding amino acid is attached (by aminoacyl-tRNA synthetases). tRNAs cope with the degeneracy of the genetic code in two manners: having more than one tRNA (with a specific anti-codon) for a particular amino acid; and 'wobble' base-pairing, i.e. permitting non-standard base-pairing at the 3rd anti-codon position. Lineage: Bacteria; Bacillati; Bacillota; Clostridia; Eubacteriales. The record is from RNAcentral.